CCUACGGGUGGCAGCAGUGGGGAAUAUUGCACAAUGGGGGAAACCCUGAUGCAGCAACGCCGCGUGAGUGAAGAAGUAUUUCGGUAUGUAAAGCUCUAUCAGCAGGGAAGAAGAUGCCGGUACCUGACCAACAAGCCCCGGCUAACUCCGGGCAAGCAGCCGCGGUAAUACGUAGGGGGCAAGCGUUAUCCGGAUUUACUGGGUGUAAAGUGAGCGCAGACGGCAGUGCAAGUCUGGAGUGAAAGCCCGGGGCCCAACCCCGGAACUGCGCUGGAAACUGGGAGGCUAGAGUCUGGGAGGGGCAGGCGGAAUUCCUAGUGUAGCGGUGAAAUGCGUAGAUAUUAGGAGGAACACCAGUGGCGAAGGCGGCCAGCUGGACAGUAACUGACGUUGAGGCGCGAAAGCGUGGGGAGCAAACAGGAUUAGAUACCCCGGUAGUC
This 440-nucleotide ribosomal RNA is filed under the name uncultured bacterium. RNAcentral's name for it is "partial 16S ribosomal RNA". It matches the Rfam family "Bacterial small subunit ribosomal RNA", at positions 338 to 795 of the family's 1533-position model. The record is from RNAcentral.